Molecule: ribosomal RNA, 803 nt
Filed under: uncultured organism
Description: SSU rRNA
Rfam family: Bacterial small subunit ribosomal RNA
Source: RNAcentral
GACGAACGCUGGCGGCGUGCUUAACACAUGCAAGUCGAACGAAGAGCGAUGGAAGCUUGCUUCUAUCAAUCUUAGUGGCGAACGGGUGAGUAACGCGUAAUCAACCUGCCCUUCAGAGGGGGACAACAGUUGGAAACGACUGCUAAUACCGCAUACGAUCUAACCUCGGCAUCGAGGAUAGAUGAAAGGUGGCCUCUAUUUAUAAGCUAUCACUGAAGGAGGGGAUUGCGUCUGAUUAGCUAGUUGGAGGGGUAACGGCCCACCAAGGCGAUGAUCAGUAGCCGGUCUGAGAGGAUGAACGGCCACAUUGGGACUGAGACACGGCCCAGACUCCUACGGGAGGCAGCAGUGGGGUAUCUUCUGCAAUGGACGAAAGUCUGACGGAGCAACGCCGCGUGAGUGAUGACGGCCUUCGGGUUGUAAAGCUCUGUUAAUCGGGACGAAAGGCCUUCUUGCGAAUAGUUAGAAGGAUUGACGGUACCGGAAUAGAAAGCCACGGCUAACUACGUGCCAGCAGCCGCGGUAAUACGUAGGUGGCAAGCGUUGUCCGGAAUUACUGGGCGUAAAGCGCGCGCAGGCGGAUUGGUCAUUUUGUCUUAAAAGUUCGGGGCUUAACCCCGUGAUGGGGUGGAAACUGCCAAUCUAGAGUAUCGGAGAGGAAAGUGGAAUUCCUAGUGUAGCGGUGAAAUGCGUAGAUAUUAGGAAGAACACCAGUGGCGAAGGCGACUUUCUGGACGAAAACUGACGCUGAGGCGCGAAAGCCAGGGGAGCGAACGGGAUUAGAUACCCCGGUAGUCCUGGCC